UGCUAAUCUGCGAUAAGCGUCGGUAAGGUGAUAUGAACCGUUAUAACCGGCGAUUUCCGAAUGGGGAAACCCAGUGUGUUUCGACACACUAUCAUUAACUGAAUCCAUAGGUUAAUGAGGCGAACCGGGGGAACUGAAACAUCUAAGUACCCCGAGGAAAAGAAAUCAACCGAGAUUCCCCCAGUAGCGGCGAGCGAACGGGGAGCAGCCCAGAGCCUGAAUCAGUGUGUGUGUUAGUGGAAGCGUCUGGAAAGGCGUGCGAUACAGGGUGACAGCCCCGUACACAAAAAUGCACAUGCUGUGAGCUCGAUGAGUAGGGCGGGACACGUGGUAUCCUGUCUGAAUAUGGGGGGACCAUCCUCCAAGGCUAAAUACUCCUGACUGACCGAUAGUGAACCAGUACCGUGAGGGAAAGGCGAAAAGAACCCCGGCGAGGGGAGUGAAAAAGAACCUGAAACCGUGUACGUACAAGCAGUGGGAGCACGCUUAGGCGUGUGACUGCGUACCUUUUGUAUAAUGGGUCAGCGACUUAUAUUCUGUAGCAAGGUUAACCGAAUAGGGGAGCCGAAGGGAAACCGAGUCUUAACUGGGCGUUAAGUUGCAGGGUAUAGACCCGAAACCCGGUGAUCUAGCCAUGGGCAGGUUGAAGGUUGGGUAACACUAACUGGAGGACCGAACCGACUAAUGUUGAAAAAUUAGCGGAUGACUUGUGGCUGGGGGUGAAAGGCCAAUCAAACCGGGAGAUAGCUGGUUCUCCCCGAAAGCUAUUUAGGUAGCGCCUCGUGAAUUCAUCUCCGGGGGUAGAGCACUGUUUCGGCAAGGGGGUCAUCCCGACUUACCAACCCGAUGCAAACUGCGAAUACCGGAGAAUGUUAUCACGGGAGACACACGGCGGGUGCUAACGUCCGUCGUGAAGAGGGAAACAACCCAGACCGCCAGCUAAGGUCCCAAAGUCAUGGUUAAGUGGGAAACGAUGUGGGAAGGCCCAGACAGCCAGGAUGUUGGCUUAGAAGCAGCCAUCAUUUAAAGAAAGCGUAAUAGCUCACUGGUCGAGUCGGCCUGCGCGGAAGAUGUAACGGGGCUAAACCAUGCACCGAAGCUGCGGCAGCGACGCUUAUGCGUUGUUGGGUAGGGGAGCGUUCUGUAAGCCUGCGAAGGUGUGCUGUGAGGCAUGCUGGAGGUAUCAGAAGUGCGAAUGCUGACAUAAGUAACGAUAAAGCGGGUGAAAAGCCCGCUCGCCGGAAGACCAAGGGUUCCUGUCCAACGUUAAUCGGGGCAGGGUGAGUCGACCCCUAAGGCGAGGCCGAAAGGCGUAGUCGAUGGGAAACAGGUUAAUAUUCCUGUACUUGGUGUUACUGCGAAGGGGGGACGGAGAAGGCUAUGUUGGCCGGGCGACGGUUGUCCCGGUUUAAGCGUGUAGGCUGGUUUUCCAGGCAAAUCCGGAAAAUCAAGGCUGAGGCGUGAUGACGAGGCACUACGGUGCUGAAGCAACAAAUGCCCUGCUUCCAGGAAAAGCCUCUAAGCAUCAGGUAACAUCAAAUCGUACCCCAAACCGACACAGGUGGUCAGGUAGAGAAUACCAAGGCGCUUGAGAGAACUCGGGUGAAGGAACUAGGCAAAAUGGUGCCGUAACUUCGGGAGAAGGCACGCUGAUAUGUAGGUGAAGUCCCUCGCGGAUGGAGCUGAAAUCAGUCGAAGAUACCAGCUGGCUGCAACUGUUUAUUAAAAACACAGCACUGUGCAAACACGAAAGUGGACGUAUACGGUGUGACGCCUGCCCGGUGCCGGAAGGUUAAUUGAUGGGGUCAGCGCAAGCGAAGCUCUUGAUCGAAGCCCCGGUAAACGGCGGCCGUAACUAUAACGGUCCUAAGGUAGCGAAAUUCCUUGUCGGGUAAGUUCCGACCUGCACGAAUGGCGUAAUGAUGGCCAGGCUGUCUCCACCCGAGACUCAGUGAAAUUGAACUCGCUGUGAAGAUGCAGUGUACCCGCGGCAAGACGGAAAGACCCCGUGAACCUUUACUAUAGCUUGACACUGAACAUUGAGCCUUGAUGUGUAGGAUAGGUGGGAGGCUUUGAAGUGUGGACGCCAGUCUGCAUGGAGCCGACCUUGAAAUACCACCCUUUAAUGUUUGAUGUUCUAACGUUGACCCGUAAUCCGGGUUGCGGACAGUGUCUGGUGGGUAGUUUGACUGGGGCGGUCUCCUCCUAAAGAGUAACGGAGGAGCACGAAGGUUGGCUAAUCCUGGUCGGACAUCAGGAGGUUAGUGCAAUGGCAUAAGCCAGCUUGACUGCGAGCGUGACGGCGCGAGCAGGUGCGAAAGCAGGUCAUAGUGAUCCGGUGGUUCUGAAUGGAAGGGCCAUCGCUCAACGGAUAAAAGGUACUCCGGGGAUAACAGGCUGAUACCGCCCAAGAGUUCAUAUCGACGGCGGUGUUUGGCACCUCGAUGUCGGCUCAUCACAUCCUGGGGCUGAAGUAGGUCCCAAGGGUAUGGCUGUUCGCCAUUUAAAGUGGUACGCGAGCUGGGUUUAGAACGUCGUGAGACAGUUCGGUCCCUAUCUGCCGUGGGCGCUGGAGAACUGAGGGGGGCUGCUCCUAGUACGAGAGGACCGGAGUGGACGCAUCACUGGUGUUCGGGUUGUCAUGCCAAU
This 2649-nucleotide ribosomal RNA is filed under the name Escherichia coli. RNAcentral describes it as "partial 23S ribosomal RNA". It matches the Rfam family "Bacterial large subunit ribosomal RNA". The record is from RNAcentral. Lineage: Bacteria; Pseudomonadati; Pseudomonadota; Gammaproteobacteria; Enterobacterales; Enterobacteriaceae.